This is a long non-coding RNA of Balaenoptera acutorostrata (minke whale), 4659 nucleotides long. RefSeq lists it as uncharacterized. The record is from RefSeq and is a predicted model, not a curated record. NCBI's taxonomy places the organism in Eukaryota, Metazoa, Chordata, Mammalia, Artiodactyla, Balaenopteridae. The transcript has 6 exons.
CCCAUUCUAGACCCCGCCCUUAAUUCGCUGCGCGGGGCGGCUUUCGCAGUCCAGGUACCGAGAGCGCGGACGGUGGGUGCAAUGGGCUGCGCAGAGAAAUCAGCUUCACGGCAGUUAAUCUUUUCUUCGAUGUGGGGAUCACCAGACCAUCUGGGAAACCUUUCCCACGCACUGUCUCUAUGUCCGGUGACUUUGGGAAGUCCUAAAGGACAAUGGGGGAAUUCACCAAGCUUAGGUCGAGUGAGCCUCCCCACCACCCCGGAGCCAGCAUGGGACACAGCUGAACUCAUUUCUUGGAGGAACUUGCCAGUGUGUCCCCAAGAGCCUGGGUGGCAUAGUCUGUGCCCAACUGGUGCCUGAAGCCUACGGGGACUGCACUUCCUGUGCUCCGGACUUCCUCAUAGGAAGGAAUGGAGAAUUCGCCGCCUAGUCUGUGGCUGAGAUGGAGCUCUGAACAAACCAGCACUCUCCCAGCACCAAAUGAUAUUAGGGCCACUUGAUUACAAAUGACUAUGCUAAUGUACUGCUGUUUCCGUCCCCAAACCACGGAAUGAAACAUCUCUCUAUGACAAAGAGGACUUACUUGAUUCUUCUCCUGGACCAGAGGAUAAGAACGGUGACCUCAAGGAGGAGAAGCACUCACCAGAUGAAGAGGAACAGUACUUCCUGGGGUCCUGCUUUCCUUGCCAGGUGUCACCAAGCUCUCUUUAAACUCAGAACACAACCAUUUUGAUUCAUCGGCCCCCAUGGAGCCAACGCUUGAGAACUGACCUACUAUAGGCCAGGACUCUGCUUUAGGUAUGGAUGAGGCAUGCUCUUUCAGAAGCUGUGAGAGAAUAAAAACGAAUGUACCGUCACUCCAAACACGUGAACAGAAAUGCUGUGACAACUCAGAACACGGUUUUCCGCCCUUGGAAUGCCUCGUUCACAAGGAAAGGCUGAAAAUAUUAGCGACCAAGUUCAUACCCAUGGGUAGUUUUUUUUUCCUUCUUUGGGAAAUAUUUUUAAAUACUGAAGAUAUUUUAUUUUAAUGGAGUAAGUGGACACAAGUAUUCUUCUUCCAAAAUUCUUUGAUUUGUACUAAAAGCAAAAAGAGAUUAAAAAAAAUAAAAAGAAGACCCAUUUUAGUAGCGAUGUCAGAUAAAGCACCAACCUGCCACACGAAAUUAGAUUUCUGCCUUGAAGUUGCAAUGGUUUAACAUACCUAAACAAUACUAGGAGGUCAAGCUAUUGUAUAUUUUGACGCGUAUCAUUUGAAAGAGGUUUAACUCUUGGGAUCUAGGCAGCUGUGACGCUCUGUAAAUAAAAGGGAAUAUAUUUACAUUUAGAUACAUACUACCAUAAGCACUGCAGAAGACUGACCUGCAUUUCCUGCUUUGUCUGAUAUUUAUGCAAAGCUGCAGAAACAAUUCAGAAAAUACUGGGAAAUUUUAUCCAUUUAAACUCGUACCGAAGGUCUUCCUAGAGGCUGGAGAUGGCAACAACAAAAAAAAGCCUCAGUUCCUGCCCCAGGGGAGCUCAUAUUCUGAUGGAUGUAUUGUUUAGUUUAUACGUACUAUUUUCCUUAUCACAGAGUAGGCAUUAAUAUUUAUAAACGCACUUCCCCAAAGAGCCCAAAUAGUUCUCAACUUCCACCCUGGGUGCAGCAUGGCAUAGGAAACAGGACUGAGCCAACAACAGGACUCGGCUUCUAUUUUGGGCUAUUCUGGGCUCAGUCCUUGAUCAGGUACAUGGCCCUAGCCAAGGCCCUGGGCUUCUCUUUACACCUCAGUGGAACAGACGUCUGAUCACCCAUCUUCCUUGGAAUGCAGCUAUGAUGCAACACGGGUUCCCGACAGUGGAAAGUGGCCGCAAACUCUAAGAUGCUACUCCGCUUCCAGUAAGACUGGGAUGCUGCACGAUAUGGGCCAUCACCGGGCCGUUCUGAACCACCGGCCCACAGGCUAAUACACACUAGUGCUUACCCAACACUCAGCACGUGCCUUGCAUUCAUUUCCUCAUUUAAUCCUUAGGCAAUUCUGUGAGGGAAGUACUGUUGUUAUGCCCAUUUUAUGGAUGUCAAGAGGGGUUAAGGAGCAAGUCAAGGUCACACGGCUUGCAACCAGGUCAGGAUUUGGCCCCGGGUGUGGGCAUCCGCCCACAAAGCUGUGCACUUAGCCAGUAUGUGGGACCCUCUCCUCCCCAGGUCAAGACAGAAAGAUGGUGGCUUCGAGACCUUGCCCGCUUUCAGCUGUGGUCUCACUUACAAAAGGAAAUUAAAGUGAAAAGUUGUCAUUGGCCGGGCGGAAUUCUCACACAACAUAAAUAAUUUAUGGAAAAAGAGGGGCUUUUAAGAAAGCCCCUUUAAGGAAUUUACUAAGGUCGAUAAACUGACUCCUAGAGAGAGGUGGGGAAAACUUUAAACCUUAACUUGCUGGUUGUUUAAUUUUGUUAAAGACCUUUCUUGGCUUAUUUUCAUACCAGCAGCAAAUGUCAUUGUCAUAAUUACAGUUCUCAGGGCAAUGGUUUAGCAAACAAAACACAUCAUAGCUCAGCUGUAGUCUUCACUCAACACUAUUUUCUGUUCUGUGUUGAAUUUGUGUUAAAAAUCCUUGAUGUGCUGAUCAAAAGCUAUAAUACUUAUAUGAAUAAAAAAUCUCUAACUAUCUUUAUUACAAGAAAUAAAAAAACUAAAAAUCCUCCACGUACUUUUGCCAUUUAGAAUCGUUAACUCUACACCUAUAAAUGAGGCAAAAUGUUAAAAUACAAGUAAUUACUGGAAACUAUAAUUAGACAAUCAAUUAUCAAGUGCCUACUAUUUGCCCAGAAUUGUGCUAGAGAUACUAUGAAGCUGCCUUCAAAAUAUACCAAUUAUAAAUGAAAAAGGACAGAACAUACAUUAAAUUUUUAAAAAAUGGUAAAAUAGUAAAAAUUCUGUUACCUUCCUAAGCCUAAAAUGUCCCCAGUUAUCUUUUUGAUUUCCUUCCUUGAAAGCGUCCCGGGGUUGAGCCAAUAAGGUAAACACUAAAAAGAUAUAAAGCACAAGUUACAGAACAUAGUGAUUUGUGGACUCCCCAAAUCACAAAAUAUGCAGGAAAACUAACAUUAAGCAAGAAAUAUUCUAAGAGCCAACCCACUUUCUUGAAAUGCCUCUUCAGAGGAGUAACUGACACUUAAAAUCAUUUUUGAGCACAUCAAGUAAUGGUGGGACACCCACGGGGUAUAAGGUACCAGGCAAAGAGCUCAGCAAUUUUAAGAGAAAGCUCUCCGGCUGGGAUGGGAGGGGUGGGGUGGUGGCACUCAGGUGAGGGGCAAGAUCUCCCGGCCUCCACUUCAGUGCCUGAGGACCAGGAGGUGCAGACAGUGACAGGCCCUGCUCUCAUCACGUCCCGAAGGACAGCCAUCUCCUGCCGGGCCCCUGUGUUCCAGACCUCACAUGGUGUUCAAGCGCACACAGUGACUACCAAGAAAUGGCCGGAACCCUACAAACCCUUGUGUCUUCUGGUGCCAGUCGGCGUGAAUGAGGUUGGAGCACUUAUCAGUACAGACACGUGCAGCAGACUGAAAUGACAAACGCAUUUCCUACUGUGGGUUGCAGUUUAAGUUUGGAAGAUGCUGCAUUUUCAAGAGACUGAUCCUUCUUCAUACUCUACAGACGCCAGACUUGUCACCAGCGUGUACCUGGGCUUGAGAAUCCGUGGCUAGGACAGGUCAUGGGGACUAUCCAGCUCCCCACGUGAACCAGAAGCAGCGCUUAUUUGGGUCACACAUGUUGGAUCCUCCUCUCACUGUGCACGGCUUCCCUUGGGCUGGACAGGGCCGCAGCUACUUCAUGCUACUGGGCAGGAGUGGGUCACAUGGAGGGGAGGCCCUGCUACAGCCCGAAGAGGAGAGAGGCCCAUCCUGCAGUCUGCUCCUGGCUGCACGGCCACAUCUGACGCUUCCCUCCCGCUGUGGAGUCUCAGGGCCGUGGGAGGUGCCUUUGCUUCCCGCUCUGGGGGCCACCAAAGAGCUUCAGCAUGUUAAAGCACUAUGAGAUAAGCCCCGGGACUCACAGCAUCCUGGAAGCAGGGGUACAGCUCGUUCACCGUCUCUAAGAGGACCACGAGCUCCUGGAGGAUGGGGCUGCAUCUGGUCACUUCCAGAUGCUCCGCAAGUAGUCACCACCAGCUGACGCAAGUGUGACCCCGGAGACUCCUUCAGAGUUACUGUGGCAGCUCCACUCUGUCGGGGGAGGGCGGGGGACGCGUUCACACCUGUCACCAGGAGCUGGAAGGCUUUCCUUCUUUCCUAGCUCAUGUGUUUGUCUUGCCUCUCUCACCCGAAGACUAAAAGCUGGAAGGACAAACACCAUGAUGUCUCCAAACACUUUACGUCCCCCCGAGCUGUGCUUCAAGAAUGUAAUAGAUAUUUAAUGAAUAACUCUUAGAACAUUUUAAAAUGAACAACGGAAAGUAAUUUCAAGGCAUGAGUUCAAUCUCCUACAAAAUACUGGCAUUUUAACAAAAAGUAAACCACACACACACUACAGAGUGGGGAAAGGGUCUAUCAUUACUUCCCUAGGCACUUUCAACUCUGAAUGAGGAACUCUGCUGGGUUUAACCUGCAAAAUGCAUGUGUUGGAGGCGAAGGAAGAAUGGACUUGCAAAGCGUGUGUGUGUGUGUGUGUGUGUGUGUGUG